GAGAAGCUUCUUGUCACCUGAGCUCUGCUUCAUCUGACACUGACUUCUUAGGUGGCCCAGAAAAAUCCCUGAACUUUUUGCUUGAAUCUCAGCUGACAAAUGGGAAGAUGUCUGAGGAGGAGCAAACCUGCGCGUCUGAGACUCUGAGGAUAGACUGAGACUAGUGUGGUAUGACUGCUGGCAAACUUCUGCAGGAGGUGCUGGGCGGAUGUGUGGAACCAGUCGUUCAGCAGAUACAGUUCAGUGUAACUUCAUUACAUUUGAUCGAGCUCAUGACAAAUACUUUCUACCAUUACAAGACUUUUGGACAAGCUGAAGGUACCAUUUACCAGUACUGCUCUACAGGGACUAUGAACCGUCAUGACUAUUGAACAGAAUCAUGGAGGUGAUACAUGCAAAUUAAUAACUCUUUUGGUCCAAAGCAUGUGUACAGU
This 434-nucleotide long non-coding RNA is filed under the name Apteryx owenii (little spotted kiwi). Its description in RNAcentral is "lncRNA (ENSAOWG00000011345.1)". The record is from RNAcentral. Lineage: Eukaryota; Metazoa; Chordata; Aves; Apterygiformes; Apterygidae.